UGACACGUUAUGUUUUGGGAUAUAAUAACUUAAGGGUUAAAAUGUCUUUUUCAUUAUAUUGUAAUUUUAUAUUCUAAUUUAAGUGAAAAUCAUUAAUCAGACUGCUAACAUUUAUCUAUUGGUACUUAAUAUUUAAAGAUCACAAUCAUUUCUUUUUUAGUGCAUCACUAUUAUGUGUUUAUGUCAGUCUACGGAACUAAACUUUUCUUUUUCUUUUUUUAAACCAAUCAAGAUCAAAUUAACAAUAAAAAAUUAUAAAUUGUGUAAUCCUAGUCUUUACCUCAGUAAAUGUUAAAAAAAAACUCUACUACACUGAUUUAUCCAGUCAUACCUGUAUAUAGUAAUGUUUGUAGGAAGGUUGGAAUGUUAUAAUCGCUUCAUGACACUUUAAUCAUCACAUGACAGUUUACAUUACAUGAAGGUUUCUGCUUACAGUGACUAGCAUGAGGAAAUGCACCUUUAUUAUUAAAAUGGAUGUUGGGCUGUGAUUUGAACCACUGUAAUAAAGCAAAAGAAAACAAAUGGACCUCUGUGUAUUCUUCUAAACCUUGGGCAUAGAUCACCAAACUCAGCACGAAACAGAGCGAAAACUGCAGAAUUAGAAGCAUUAAACCACAGCCGAGUUUCUCUGUGACAUUAUUCUCAUUUUCAUGAACACCGAAACUUUAAACAAGGAUAAAGAGUUUGGGAGCAAGAUCAUCUUUCACAUCCAGCAGUGUUAUAUUUUUUAUAUCUUAAUGUAAAAACAGUGUGAUAUUAAAAUGAAUGCCAUUUCAAAUGCCUUUUCUUUUCAGUGUAGCAUUUUCUUUAUACUAUUGUUCUAACUUUCUGUAUUUUUAAGUAUGACCUGAAAUUAAAACUGACGUUUUUCUCUCUCGUCUUUGUUAGUUCAUGGUCCGACGUGUAAGUCUCAACUGUACAAAUCAUUAAAAUAAUAAACCGUU
Long non-coding RNA from Tachysurus fulvidraco (yellow catfish), 944 nucleotides. RefSeq lists it as uncharacterized. Lineage: Eukaryota; Metazoa; Chordata; Actinopteri; Siluriformes; Bagridae. The transcript has 2 exons. The record is from RefSeq and is a predicted model, not a curated record.